AGUCGAACGGAAAGGCCCUUCGGGGUACUCGAGUGGCGAACGGGUGAGUAACACGUGGGUGAUCUGCCCUGCACUUUGGGAUAAGCCUGGGAAACUGGGUCUAAUACCGAAUAGGACCGCAUGCUUCAUGGUGUGUGGUGGAAAGCUUUUGCGGUGUGGGAUGGGCCCGCGGCCUAUCAGCUUGUUGGUGAGGUAAUGGCUUACCAAGGCGACGACGGGUAGCCGGCCUGAGAGGGUGACCGGCCACACUGGGACUGAGAUACGGCCCAGACUCCUACGGGAGGCAGCAGUGGGGAAUAUUGCACAAUGGGCGCAAGCCUGAUGCAGCGACGCCGCGUGAGGGAUGACGGCCUUCGGGUUGUAAACCUCUUUCGCCAGGGACGAAGCGCAAGUGACGGUACCUGGAGAAGAAGGACCGGCCAACUACGUGCCAGCAGCCGCGGUAAUACGUAGGGUCCGAGCGUUGUCCGGAAUUACUGGGCGUAAAGAGCUCGUAGGUGGUUUGUCGCGUUGUUCGUGAAAACUCACAGCUUAACUGUGGGCGUGCGGGCGAUACGGGCAGACUUGAGUACUGCAGGGGAGACUGGAAUUCCUGGUGUAGCGGUGGAAUGCGCAGAUAUCAGGAGGAACACCGGUGGCGAAGGCGGGUCUCUGGGCAGUAACUGACGCUGAGGAGCGAAAGCGUGGGGAGCGAACAGGAUUAGAUACCCUGGUAGUCCACGCCGUAAACGGUGGGUACUAGGUGUGGGUUUCCUUCCUUGGGAUCCGUGCCGUAGCUAACGCAUUAAGUACCCCGCCUGGGGAGUACGGCCGCAAGGCUAAAACUCAAAGAAAUUGACGGGGGCCCGCACAAGCGGCGGAGCAUGUGGAUUAAUUCGAUGCAACGCGAAGAACCUUACCUGGGUUUGACAUGCACAGGACGCCGGCAGAGAUGUCGGUUCCCUUGUGGCCUGUGUGCAGGUGGUGCAUGGCUGUCGUCAGCUCGUGUCGUGAGAUGUUGGGUUAAGUCCCGCAACGAGCGCAACCCUUGUCUCAUGUUGCCAGCACGUUAUGGUGGGGACUCGUGAGAGACUGCCGGGGUCAACUCGGAGGAAGGUGGGGAUGACGUCAAGUCAUCAUGCCCCUUAUGUCCAGGGCUUCACACAUGCUACAAUGGCCGGUACAAAGGGCUGCGAUGCCGUGAGGUGGAGCGAAUCCUUUCAAAGCCGGUCUCAGUUCGGAUCGGGGUCUGCAACUCGACCCCGUGAAGUCGGAGUCGCUAGUAAUCGCAGAUCAGCAACGCUGCGGUGAAUACGUUCCCGGGCCUUGUACACACCGCCCGUCACGUCAUGAAAGUCGGUAACACCCGAAGCCGGUGGCCUAACCC
This 1366-nucleotide ribosomal RNA is filed under the name Mycolicibacterium gilvum. Its description in RNAcentral is "Mycobacterium gilvum 16S ribosomal RNA". It matches the Rfam family "Bacterial small subunit ribosomal RNA". The record is from RNAcentral. Lineage: Bacteria; Bacillati; Actinomycetota; Actinomycetes; Mycobacteriales; Mycobacteriaceae.